This 1522-nucleotide long non-coding RNA is filed under the name Triticum aestivum (bread wheat). RNAcentral's name for it is "long non-coding RNA (TAES_LNC004018)". The record is from RNAcentral. Lineage: Eukaryota; Viridiplantae; Streptophyta; Magnoliopsida; Poales; Poaceae.
GGCAACCGGCACGGCACGGCACGGCUACCUUUUAGCUUUCUCCUUUCUGCUUUCCCCCAAACUUGUAAUCUGUAAGCUACCUGAGAGGAAUUGAAUCUAGAUCGAGACCGGCCACCUAACACCGCUGCUCCACUCUCCCCACCUGAUUUUCCAACAAAAACCGACGCAAUGACGAAAACCGAACGGCAGAACCCACCACGCAGGUCUCCCAUCCAAAUAUCCAAUCCACUUCCCAUCUCCCUGUCCCUGAUCCUCACAAUCGUCUCCGAUGCCGCCGCCCCAAAUUUGGAUUCGGGGCCUCCCCGUGAUCUCUACCGGCAGCGCCGCGCCUAGCCAGCUGUGGCCUCCCCAAGUCUCCUCUCCAGAGACCCCGUGAUGUCGCCGCCACGCAGUCUGUACCAACGUCGUGCAGGGCGCAGCCUCCAUGACCCACGUUCUCCCCACGCCGUCGCCUCCCCCAUAUCUCCAUCGGCGGCGGCGCACCGGCCACAGCCUCCCCACGCUAAUAGGAGGACAACCACGCUCUUCUUUUGAUCCAGGUGGCUGUGAUGCGAUGAGCGUUGGAGGGCACCGCCUGGAGUCUCGGCCAUCACAUCUCAGGCACACAAUUUGUCACAGAGGAUGCAUAUUAUUUCGUCCUCAAUUAGGUGAUUGACCUAUCUCAUAUUUUGUCAGAUAUUGCUUCUGCUCAAUCCAUUCAUACUACCAAGAUGAAGACGAGGAUUUGUGUCACCGGGCCUUUGGCGCUUCUUACUAUUGAUUCAUUGAAGUACGUAUACAAAUGGUUGCGAUAGGAGGAGGAGGAGGAGGAGCAACCGGCAACGAUGGCGGACAUGAGUGCAUUCCUGUAUUAGGAGGGGCCCUUUAAGAUUAGGUAAGCUUUGCUGCGAUGGCUGCAUGCACUGCACCUGCAUGGAACUCGCAACUUAAGCCUCCUGCAAAAUCACAGAUCUGCGUUUUUAAUGACGCGGCAUGGUUUAAAACUUUUUAUUUAUUUGAUCCGCCAUGCUCGAGCAGUAAUAGUCUAAGCUUCACCGUGUAAUAAGCUCCACCUGCGUGCACUAAGAUGUUCCGGUACUGCUGCUGUUUAUGUUUGUUAUAUUUGCUACCAGUUUGAUUGAUUACUAUUAUCUACUGUACGUGCUCAUUAUUUGGCUUUCAAGAUAUAUUUGUUCUCUAUGUGUCACUGCCAAUUAAUUUCAAAGCAGAUGAUAAACUGUGAUUUGCUCCUCAAUUUGUACUGUAUCUCAGAUCUCCUUUGUUCCUAGAAUAUUAGCUUCUUCACGGCAAUUUCAAAGUUAGAUGUACCAUAGUAAGCCAAUCAAAAUCUGCACCAUAUUAAUCUGAUGCUUUUUUACCCGCUCAUCCUUAAUUAAUAGGCAUUUUCCAAUAGGAUCAGCUUUGCUGUACAAACUCACUUGUAUUUUCCGAAUAUAAAUAAGAUUCGGUCCUUCUCUCUGAAAACUUGGCCUCAUGCUUAUGUUUGCAUUUGCUAUUGGUAAUGUGAAUUUGAGCAAAUAUA